ACCAUCCUCCAAGGCUAAAUACUCCUGAUUGACCGAUAGUGAACCAGUACUGUGAAGGAAAGGCGAAAAGAACCCCAGUGAGGGGAGUGAAAUAGAACCUGAAACCGUGUACGUACAAGCAGUGGGAGCAGAUUUAUUCGUGUGACUGCGUACCUUUUGUAUAAUGGGUCAGCGACUUAUAUUUUGUAGCAAGGUUAACUGAAUAAGGGAGCCGAAGGGAAACCGAGUCUUAACUGGGCGAAGAGUUGCAAGGUAUAGACCCGAAACCCGGUGAUCUAGCCAUGAGCAGGUUGAAGAUUGGGUAACACUAAUUGGAGGACCGAACCGACUAAUGUUGAAAAAUUAGCGGAUGACUUGUGGCUGGGGGUGAAAGGCCAAUCAAACCGGGAGAUAGCUGGUUCUCCCCGAAAUCUAUUUAGGUAGAGCCUUGAGCGGACACCUUCGGGGGUAGAGCACUGUUUCGGCUAGGGGUCCAUCCCGGAUUACCAACCCGAUGCAAACUGCGAAUACCGAAGAGUGAUACUCAGGAGACACACGGUGGGUGCUAACGUCCAUCGUGGAGAGGGAAACAACCCAGACCGCCAGCUAAGGUCCCAAAGUCUAUAUUAAGUGGGAAACGAAGUGGGAAGGCUUAGACAGCUAGGAUGUUGGCUUAGAAGCAGCCACCAUUUAAAGAAAGCGUAAUAGCUCACUAGUCGAGUCGGCCUGCGCGGAAGAUGUAACGGGGCUAAAAUAUAGCACCGAAGCUGCGGCAUCAAUGGAAACAUUGUUGGGUAGGGGAGCGUUCUGUAAGCGGAAGAAGGUGCAUUGAGAAGUGUGCUGGACGUAUCAGAAGUGCGAAUGCUGACAUAAGUAACGAUAAAACGAGUGAAAAACUCGUUCGCCGGAAGACCAAGGGUUCCUGUCCAACGUUAAUCGGGGCAGGGUGAGUCGGCCCCUAAGGCGAGGCUGAAAAGCGUAGUCGAUGGGAAACGGGUUAAUAUUCCCGUACUUGGAUAAAUUGCGAUGUGGGGACGGAGAAGGUUAGGUUAGCAGCCUGUUGGAUGGCUGUUUAAGGCGGUAGGUGGAGUGCUUAGGCAAAUCCGGGCACUCUUAACACCGAGAACUGAUGACGAGGUGCUAAGGCACUGAAGUAACUGAUACCACGCUUCCAGGAAAAGCCACUAAGCUUCAGAUUUAUCUAAACCGUACUAUAAACCGACACAGGUGGUCAGGUAGAGAAUACUCAGGCGCUUGAGAGAACUCGGGUGAAGGAACUAGGCAAAAUAGCACCGUAACUUCGGGAGAAGGUGCGCCGGCGUAGAUUGUAGAGAUUUACUCUCGAAGGUUGAACCGGUCGAAGAUACCAGCUGGCUGCAACUGUUUAUUAAAAACACAGCACUCUGCAAACACGAAAGUGGACGUAUAGGGUGUGAUGCCUGCCCGGUGCUGGAAGGUUAAUUGAUGGUGUUAUCGAAAGAGAAGCUCCUGAUCGAAGCCCCAGUAAACGGCGGCCGUAACAAUAACGGUCCUAAGGUAGCGAAAUUCCUUGUCGGGUAAGUUCCGA
RNAcentral lists this ribosomal RNA (1546 nucleotides) under metagenome. RNAcentral describes it as "bacterial LSU rRNA". It matches the Rfam family "Bacterial large subunit ribosomal RNA", at positions 452 to 1986 of the family's 2925-position model. The record is from RNAcentral.